RNAcentral lists this ribosomal RNA (1264 nucleotides) under Shewanella algae. RNAcentral's name for it is "bacterial SSU rRNA". It matches the Rfam family "Bacterial small subunit ribosomal RNA", at positions 90 to 1338 of the family's 1533-position model. The record is from RNAcentral. Lineage: Bacteria; Pseudomonadati; Pseudomonadota; Gammaproteobacteria; Alteromonadales; Shewanellaceae.
GACGAGCGGCGGACGGGUGAGUAAUGCCUGGGAAUUUGCCCAUUUGUGGGGGAUAACAGUUGGAAACGACUGCUAAUACCGCAUACGCCCUACGGGGGAAAGCAGGGGACCUUCGGGCCUUGCGCUGNAUGGAUAAGCCCAGGUGGGAUUAGCUAGUAGGUGAGGUAAAAGGCUCACCUAGGCGACGAUCCCUAGCUGGUCUGAGAGGAUGAUCAGCCACACUGGGACUGAGACACGGCCCAGANUCCUACGGGAGGCAGCAGUGGGGAAUAUUGCACAAUGGGGGGAAACCCUUGAUGCAGCCAUGCCCGCGUGUGUGAAGAAGGCCUUUCGGGUUGUAAAGCACUUUCAGCGAGGAGGAAAGGGUGUAAGUUAAUACCUUACAUCUGUGACGUUACUCGCAGAAGAAGCACCGGCUAACUCCGUGCCAGCAGCCGCGGUAAUACGGAGGGUGCGAGCGUUAAUCGGAAUUACUGGGCGUAAAGCGUGCGCAGGCGGUUUGUUAAGCGAGAUGUGAAAGCCCCGGGCUCAACCUGGGAACCGCAUUUCGAACUGGCAAACUAGAGUCUUGUAGAGGGGGGUAGAAUUCCAGGUGUAGCGGUGAAAUGCGUAGAGAUCUGGAGGAAUACCGGUGGCGAAGGCGGCCCCCUGGACAAAGACUGACGCUCAGGCACGAAAGCGUGGGGAGCAAACAGGAUUAGAUACCCUGGUAGUCCACGCCGUAAACGAUGUCUACUCGGGAGUUUGGUGUCUUGAACACUGGGCUCUCAAGCUAACGCAUUAAGUAGACCGCCUGGGGGAGUACGGCCGCAAGGGUUAAAACUCAAAUGAAUUGACGGGGGGCCCGCACAAGCGGUGGAGCAUGUGGUUUAAUUCGAUGCAACGCGAAGAACCUUACCUACUCUUGACAUCCACAGAACUUUUCAGAGAUGAAUUGGUGCCUUCGGGGAACUGUGAGACAGGUGCUGCAUGGCUUGUCGUCAGCUCGUGUUGUGAAAUGUUGGGUUAANUCCCGCAACGAGCGCAACCCCUAUCCUUACUUGCCAGCGGGUAAUGCCGGGAACUUUAGGGANACUGCCGGUGAUAAACCGGAGGAAGGUGGGGACGACGUCAAGUCAUCAUGGCCCUUACGAGUAGGGCUACACACGUGCUACAAUGGUCAGUACAGAGGGUUGCGAAGCCGCGAGGUGGAGCUAAUCCCAUAAAGCUGGUCGUAGUCCGGAUUGGAGUCUGCAACUCGACUCCAUGAAGUCGGAAUCGCUAG